CUGCCACACAUGCAAAUGUACAGAUACAAAUGCUGACACACAUACAGAUACACUGACAAACAGAUACAACCUAGAUAAUGGCUAUUGCUAUUCUCACCAAUGUUAUAUAACAAUAAGAUCUGCAGUUAUUUCGGCUAACUCGUAACCUUUUUUGAUAAUUUUCUUGGUAAAAACGUUAAAAUAAAAAAAAAGCUAGAAAGAAAAAAAAUCUUUCUUAGCCUUUUAGCUUGCUCUGGGGACAGAUCAUUCAAAAUUUGAGAAAUUGAAGCCCUCAGUAUACCAUCAAUC
This is a non-coding RNA of Pelobates cultripes (western spadefoot toad), 288 nucleotides long. Lineage: Eukaryota; Metazoa; Chordata; Amphibia; Anura; Pelobatidae. The record is from the annotation of a GenBank genome assembly.